This 460-nucleotide ribosomal RNA is filed under the name uncultured bacterium. RNAcentral's name for it is "partial 16S ribosomal RNA". It matches the Rfam family "Bacterial small subunit ribosomal RNA", at positions 338 to 795 of the family's 1533-position model. The record is from RNAcentral.
CCUACGGGUGGCAGCAGUGAGGAAUAUUGGUCAAUGGACGCAAGUCUGAACCAGCCAUGCCGCGUGCAGGAAGACGGCUCUAUGAGUUGUAAACUGCUUUUGUACGAGGGUAAACGCAGAUACGCGUAUCUGUCUGAAAGUAUCGUACGAAUAAGGAUCGGCUAACUCCGUGCCAGCAGCCGCGGUAAUACGGAGGAUUCAAGCGUUAUCCGGAUUUAUUGGAUUUAAAGGGUGCGUAGGCGGUCGGAUAAGUUAGAGGUGAAAUCCCGAGGCUCAACUUCGGAAUUGCCUCUGAUACUGUUCGGCUAGAGAGUAGUUGCGGUAGGCGGAAUGUAUGGUGUAGCUGUGAAAUGCUUAGAGAUCAUACAGAACACCGAUUGCGAAGGCAGCUUACCAAGCUACUUCUGACGUUGAGGCACGAAAGCGUGGGGAGCAAACAGGAUUAGAUACCCCAGUAGUC